AUGAAGAGGAGGAUUACACCAAGGAUUACAGAAAGCAAACAACAUGAAAUUUUUCAAAAAUUUGGAGUAGAAUUACCUGUGUGGUGACUAUGAUGAGCCAACUAGCCAUAACCGAGAUCUUUCUAUGGUAAAAGGCCUUGAUGAUAUUAACAAUCCCCACAGCGUAGGCAGAUCCACCGCCAAACGCAGAGCCUGCGUUUGCAAAGAUUGUAAUGAGAACAUGCUCUUUCAUAUUGAAACGGCCAGGAUUCAACGAGAUGUGACCCAAAAGAGGCACUUUGUAUUUUGUAGAGGGCAGAACUGCAGCCAUGAAGCGCCCAAUUGGAAGAGCUGCUACCUGAACUGAUAUCUGUGUGAUAACCAGAAGUUCCUUUCUGUAGCCAAAGAAUUGAUUGAGAAAAGAGAGUGUUAUGCAGGAGAGCAGACCCAAAAACCACAUUCGAAAAGUCCAUACAGGAAUAGAAGGAUCGUCGUGUGUGCUCACAGUGAAGACCACUUCCUCCACUGGUGAAUUCUCCUCCUCUUAAAAUGAUAAGCCUUUCCACGCCUUCCAUAAAGAAGAUUGUGAAUGAUUGCCAGCAUUUCAUCACCUACUUGGAUAGUUUAUAUGCCACAUUUGGAAUGUUCUUAAGCUGUGUGCCUUUGCCCUGUUCAAUGAUGAAUUCUCAUUGGUGGAAGGAUCAAAGGUUUUUACAGAUUCUUUUCUCUCACAGGCCGAUCCAGCGGAGUAGUAGGCGUUGAAAGUAAAUCCUCGGUUUUCUCUUCUCUGAAUUCUUCAGCCAUAUCGAGAUUCGAACCUGUGACUAAGGUUCAAACCCUGGAAUUCAAAAUUUUUUUUCACAUUCUGGCUGGUAAAAGAUGAAGAGGCAAAACGGAGGAUCAGAAAAUAGCAACCAAAUGAGAUCAAAUUCCCUCUUCCGGGAAUGCAAUGAUUGCAGGUUAGACACACGUUAGAUUUGCUGAAAAGAGUUUAGAAACUUUCAAGCAAAUGCAAUUGGCAGAUUUCACAACCUUUUUCAGUUCACUUUCUGUCUGUGCAAAACGGGAGAUUUGGAAGAGGAUGUUGAAAUCGAUCAAAGCAUAAAGA
This is a long non-coding RNA of Cryptomeria japonica (Japanese cedar), 1087 nucleotides long. RefSeq lists it as uncharacterized. Lineage: Eukaryota; Viridiplantae; Streptophyta; Pinopsida; Cupressales; Cupressaceae. The transcript has 3 exons. The record is from RefSeq and is a predicted model, not a curated record.